GUCUAUGGCCAGGCCACCGUGAACGUGCCCGAUCUUGUCUGAUCUUGGAAGCUAAGUGGGGUCGGAUAUGGUUAGUACUUGGAUGGGAGACCACCUGGGAAUACCAGGUGCUGUAGGUG
RNAcentral lists this ribosomal RNA (119 nucleotides) under Pteropus alecto (black flying fox). Lineage: Eukaryota; Metazoa; Chordata; Mammalia; Chiroptera; Pteropodidae. The record is from RNAcentral.